AACUACCCAACAGACCGUGAUAACCUCGGGAAACUGAGGCUAAUAACGGAUAGUGCUCCCGAGCUGGAAUGCUGGGAGCGCGAAAGCUCCGGCGCUGUUGGAUGUGGCUGCGGCCGAUUAGGUAGACGGUGGGGUAACGGCCCACCGUGCCGAUAAUCGGUACGGGUUGUGAGAGCAAGAGCCCGGAGACGGACUCUGAGACAAGAGUCCGGGCCCUACGGGGCGCAGCAGGCGCGAAACCUUUACACUGUACGCAAGUACGAUAGGGGGACACCGAGUGCGAGGGCAUAGAGCCCUCGCUUUUGUACACCGUAAGGUGGUGCACGAAUAAGGGCUGGGCAAGACCGGUGCCAGCCGCCGCGGUAACACCGGCAGCCCAAGUGAUGGCCGCUAUUAUUGGGCCUAAAGCGUCCGUAGCUGGCCGUUCAGGUCCGUCGGGAAAUCCACUGGCUUAACCAGUGGGCGUCCGGCGGAAACCGUUCGGCUUGGAACAGGGAGACCAGAGGGGUACGUCCGGGGUAGGAGUGAAAUCCCGUAAUCCUGGACGGACCAUCGGUGGCGAAAGCGCCUCUGGAGAACUGAUUCGACAGUGAGGGACGAAAGCUGGGGUCUCGAACCGGAUUAGAUACCCGGGUAGUCCCAGCCGUAAACGAUGCUCGCU
This 661-nucleotide ribosomal RNA is filed under the name uncultured archaeon. Its description in RNAcentral is "bacterial SSU rRNA". It matches the Rfam family "Archaeal small subunit ribosomal RNA", at positions 107 to 768 of the family's 1478-position model. The record is from RNAcentral.